UAGCCAAAUAUCCAAUCUCCGCCUAACCCUCUAAAGAAUCUGACAACUAAAUACAUGACUCCACUUCAAUCUGCCACCAUCCCCGAGUCAUUAAGGCACAAGAUCUCCGCAGGCAUUCGGCACACCCUAUCAUUAAUGCAUGAGACCCCCUCAGGCCUCCGAUGCACUCAGUCAUUAAAUGAACACGGCUCAAGAUGAUCUCCGGAUAACUGAACCAUCAAAGCGUAUGGCUCUUUCUGACCACCGGUUCACUCAGCAAUCAAUGCACUUGUCAUCUACGAACCCUAGGCCCACCACGGCCGGCGGUUCAACCACCCCAACGGGUCCGAUCAAUCGUGACAGCUCCCUGACAGUGACGGUAACCCAUUAAUUCGCCCAGUCACAUCACAGGUAACCCUGCCACUCUCCCUAUAAAAGGGGAGCUUCUCCCUAAAAGGGGAGGACGGAGGCUUCUUCCUCCCGAA
This 464-nucleotide long non-coding RNA is filed under the name Phoenix dactylifera (date palm). RNAcentral's name for it is "long non-coding RNA (PDAC_LNC001877)". Lineage: Eukaryota; Viridiplantae; Streptophyta; Magnoliopsida; Arecales; Arecaceae. The record is from RNAcentral.